Molecule: ribosomal RNA, 1128 nt
Filed under: human gut metagenome
Description: bacterial LSU rRNA
Rfam family: Bacterial large subunit ribosomal RNA
Source: RNAcentral
AACAGGUGAACGUUGAAAAGUUCUCUGAUGAGCUGAGGGUAGGAGUGAAAGGCUAAUCAAACCCCGUGAUAGCUGGUUCUCUUCGAAAUGCAUUUAGGUGCAGCGUCACGUGCUGAUGCGCGGGGGUAGAGCACUGACAAGGCUAGGGGGCACACCCGCUUACCAAACCUUAUCAAACUCCGAAUACCGUGCAAUGGAACGUGGCAGUGAGACAGUGGGGGAUAAGCUUCAUUGUCGAGAGGGAAACAACCCAGACCAGCAGCUAAGGUGCCUAAAUAACGCUCAGUGGAAAGGAUGUGGGAUUACACAGACAGUGAGGAUGUUGGCUUAGAAGCAGCCACCAUUUAAAAAAUGCGUAAUAGCUUACUCAUCGAGUGAUCCUGCGCCGAAAAUGAUUGGCGAUCAAGCGUUAUACCGAAGCUCUGGACUUUACCUUACGGUAGAGUGGUAGAAGAGCGUUGCAUGCGCGUUGAAGGGUGAUGGCGACUGACCCUGGAGCACAUGCAAGUGAGUAUGCAGACAUGAGUAACGUAAAGCCGGGUGAAAUCCCCGGCCGCCGUAAACCCGAGGUUUCCAGGGCAACGUGUUUCGUCCCUGGGUUAGCCGGGACCUAAGCCGAGGCCGAGAGGCGUAGGCGAUGGAUAUCAGGUUAAUAAUCCUGAGCUCGCGACCCUUAAACUGGGGGGACGCAUGAGAAAAGAUGACUAGGUUAUUGAAUUCCGAGUUGAGUCCACGGACUCAGCGCAUCAUUGGAUCGAGUGCCAAGAAAAGCCCCAGCGUAUGCUAAGCGACCCGUACCGCAAACCGACACAGGUGGGUGGGUAGAAUAUACCAAGGCGUAAGAGUGAAACCUGGUUAAGGAACUCGGCAAAUUAGCCCCGUAACUUCGGAAGAAGGGGUGCCUGCAGCGAUGCAGGCCGCAGAGAAAUGGCCCAACCGACUGUUUAUCAAAAACACAGCACUCUGCAAAGACGCAAGUCGAAGUAUAGGGUGUGACACGUGACCAAUGCCGAAAGAUUAAGGCAAGGGGUUAGCCGCAAGGCGAAGCUCUGAACCCAAGUCCCGGUGAAUGUCGGCCGUAACUAUAACGGUCCUAAGGUAGCGAAAUUCCUUGUCGGGUAAGUUCCG